UACCAGACUCCUACGGGAGGCAGCAGUGGGGGAUAUUGCACAAUAGGGGAAACCCUGAUGCAGCGACGCCGCGUGUGGGAAGACGGUCCUCUGGAUUGUAAACCACUGUCCCCAGGGACGAAGAUGACGGUACCUGGGGAGGAAGCUCCGGCUAACUACGUGCCUGCAGCCGCGGUAAUACGUAGGGGGCAAGCGUUAUCCGGAAUUAUUGGGCGUAAAGAGUACGUAGGUGGUUUUGUAAGCGCGGGGUGAAAGGCAGUGGCUUAACCAUUGUAAGCCUUGCGAACUGCAAGACUUGAGUGCAGGAGAGGAAAGCGGAAUUCCUAGUGUAGCGGUGAAAUGCUUAGAUAUUAGGAGGAACACCAGUGGCGAAGGCGGCUUUCUGGACUGUAACUGACACUGAGGUACGAAAGCGUGGGGAGCAAACAGGAUUAGAUACCCCCGUAAA
This 448-nucleotide ribosomal RNA is filed under the name uncultured bacterium. Its description in RNAcentral is "bacterial SSU rRNA". It matches the Rfam family "Bacterial small subunit ribosomal RNA", at positions 329 to 794 of the family's 1533-position model. The record is from RNAcentral.